This 440-nucleotide ribosomal RNA is filed under the name uncultured bacterium. Its description in RNAcentral is "partial 16S ribosomal RNA". It matches the Rfam family "Bacterial small subunit ribosomal RNA", at positions 338 to 795 of the family's 1533-position model. The record is from RNAcentral.
CCUACGGGAGGCAGCAGUGGGGAAUAUUGCACAAUGGGGGAAACCCUGAUGCAGCGACGCCGCGUGAGUGAAGAAGUAAUUCGUUAUGUAAAGCUCUAUCAGCAGGGAAGAAAAUGACGGUACCUGAGUAAUAAGCCCCGGCUAACUACGUGCCAGCAGCCGCGGUAAUACGUAGGGGGCAAGCGUUAUCCGGAUUUACUGGGUGUAAAGGGAGCGUAGACGGCAGUGCAAGUCUGGAGUGAAAGGCGGGGGCUCAACCCCCGGACUGCUCUGGAAACUGUACGGCUGGAGUGCAGGAGAGGUAAGUGGAAUUCCUAGUGUAGCGGUGAAAUGCGUAGAUAUCACACAGAACACCGAUUGCGAAGGCAGCUUUCCAAGCUAUUACUGACGCUGAGGCACGAAAGCGUGGGGAGCGAACAGGAUUAGAUACCACUGUAGUC